This 618-nucleotide ribosomal RNA is filed under the name Triticum aestivum (bread wheat). Its description in RNAcentral is "partial small subunit ribosomal RNA". Lineage: Eukaryota; Viridiplantae; Streptophyta; Magnoliopsida; Poales; Poaceae. The record is from RNAcentral.
AUGAGGUUGCGGGAUGAACACAGCGAAGAAAUAGAUGAAGAUCUCUUUUCCUUGGCAUGUGAACCAGAUCGGAGAGUCAGAAAAUACUCAUCAUGCAUAGUGAAUGGUAUUAGAUAUAGCACUGUUGACCGUGAUAGCAACAAGAAAACACAGAACAGUGGAGUCAUGGCCGAAGGUGAACAUGCCAGUAAGGUCAUUGAUUUUUAUGGAACCUUGAAAGAGAUCAUCCAGUUGGACUAUAACUCCAACGAUAACUUGGACGGCAGACACAAAGUAUGGGAAAAUUGGCAAGUUGUGCAAACAUUUGACCAUAGGCAUCUCUUUAAUAUUAGUGAAACUGAGGGUGCACCUUUUACUGGUCCUGCAUAUCAAGAGGAGGAGUGUUGUGAUGAGGAGGGUACGAGAACGUCGGUUUCUAAACAUACAUCUGAGAAGCCUUUGCAUAGAGACAAUGAGCAAGGCAUUAUUUUUGAAGCUGAUGUAAUUGCACGCUUGAUGAAAGAAAAGAACACAGAAGUGUAUGAAGGUGGCAAUGAAGAUGAAGAUGAUACAGGAAUGGAGUAUUGCAGCGAAGACGAAGGAGGCGGCAUGAUGGAUGUUGACAGCGAUGAUGAGUAG